CUACGUGCCAGCAGCCGCGGUAAUACGGAAGGUCCAGGCGUUAUCCGGAUUUAUUGGGUUUAAAGGGAGUGUAGGCGGUUUGUUAAGCGUGUUGUGAAAUUUAGAUGCUCAACAUUUAACUUGCAGCGCGAACUGUCAGACUUGAGUACACGCAACGUAUGCGGAAUUCAUGGUGUAGCGGUGAAAUGCUUAGAUAUGACGAAGAACUCCGAUUGCGAAGGCAGCUUACGGGAGCACAACUGACGCUGAAGCUCGAAGGUGCGGGUAUCAAACAGGAUUAGAUACCCUGGUAGUCCGCACAGUAAACGAUGGAUGCCCGUUGUUAGUUCACUUAAGAAUUAGCGACCAAGCGAAAGCAUUAAGCAUCCCACCUGGGGAGUACGCCGGCAACGGUGAAACUCAAAGGAAUUGACGGGGGCCCGCACAAGCGGAGGAACAUGUGGUUUAAUUCGAUGAUACGCGAGGAACCUUACCCGGGCUUGAAUUGCAGACGAACGAUUCAGAGAUGAUGAGG
RNAcentral lists this ribosomal RNA (514 nucleotides) under uncultured bacterium. RNAcentral describes it as "bacterial SSU rRNA". It matches the Rfam family "Bacterial small subunit ribosomal RNA", at positions 501 to 1014 of the family's 1533-position model. The record is from RNAcentral.